AAGUAACUUGCCCAAGGUAGAAUAACGUCGAGAAAUCGGCGCUAAUACCUCAUAAUGCAGCGGAUCCGCAUGGAUAUGUUGUUAAAGGUUUACCGCCUUGGGAUAGGCUUGCGUCUGAUUAGCUAGUUGGUGUGGUAACGGCACACCGAGGCUACGAUCAGUAACUGGUCUGAGAGGAUGAUCAGUCACACUGGAACUGAGACACGGUCCAGACUCCUACGGGAGGCAGCAGUGAGGAAUAUUGGGCAAUGCUCGAAAGAGUGACCCAGCAACGCCGCGUGGAGGAUGAAGGUAUUCUAUAUCGUAAACUCCUGUGAGAGCAGACGAAAGACAGAUUAUUAAUCUGGAUGACUGUAUGCUCAGAGGAAGCCCCGGCUAACUACGUG
Molecule: ribosomal RNA, 386 nt
Filed under: uncultured bacterium
Lineage: Bacteria
Description: bacterial SSU rRNA
Rfam family: Bacterial small subunit ribosomal RNA
Source: RNAcentral